AAGAAGAAGCGCUAAUCUAAAAAGGAAAACAAUUAGAGAUAAAACCUAAAAGAAACAAAACUCAAUUCUCUCUCUCACGGCGAUCUCGUCGACCUUCAUCUUCAUAAUACGUCUUUGAGCCUCCCUCUCUGCAUCUCCCAUCUUUGAAGCUCUGAUCUCUGCAGGAAAGAGUCUGGAGCAUUUCUAAAAUUUAGCUCAAGUUCAAGAUCUUAAGGUUAGACAACAAUUUGAUCCUCAAAUUGUUGAUAGAAGACAGAGCCCCAAAAUUAGUCAGUGUCAUCACCAGGUGAGUUAUAUUCUCUUAUUUUUUAUAUGUAUAAUAUAUACUCUAUGCUAAUUUGUAUGUGUAUUGAUAAUGUAUACGAGUUUGAUUAUGCACAAGAACCCUAGAUACAUUCCCGGCUUGUGCGUAGGCUAGCGUAGAUGGUGACCGGAUGAAAUUUAAUUUUGAUUGCUUGAUCAUGAGAAUUUUGAAUGUUUUGACUUUUGUUUUUGAUGAUUGAGUGCAAAGGUUCUUGGAGUAAAAUCGGGCUACAUCAAGGGUUGUGGUUUUGGCCCUAGGCCUCCACCAUCUAGUACUUCUCGAUCGUCACUAGAUGAAAUGUCUGAGAAGAAUAAAGAGUUAGAAGAUAAACUUGAAGAGACCCAAGAUACUAUAAAGGCUCUACAAGAAAAGAUUGAUGCACAAAACGUGUUGAUCCAAGAAUUGCAGGAGCAAGGCAAAAAGUUUGAGCAGUUCAUGGCAACCUUUAUGAACCAACAAGCAUCGAGUUAGUUAUGCAUAUCUAGGAUUUAGUAUCAGUUAAACAAGUUCAUUGAUUUUUGGAUCAUUUUUAGUUCAGUAUUGACUUUAGACUAUUCCAAUUUGUAGUUAUAGUAGACAACAUUAUGAAUUAUUAUUUUGUUUAUUGUUUAACUAGUUUUGAAUAAGAAUCCUCUUUUUAGAAUAAAAUAAUAUGUAUCGCUGGCAGGUCGUAUCGUAAUAAGAAGAUAACUGCAACAAAAAUAAAUUUCCUCGCUAUAGAUUAAAAUCAAUAACGACAAAAAUAAAUUUUCUCACUAUAGACUGUAGAUCCUACAUUGACGGAAAACACAUUCCUCGUUGAGUAUCUUUAUCGAGAAAAUUUUUUCUUCUUGAAAAGAUACAUAUUACAAUGAAACAAAAUUUCCUCGCUGAAAUAAGUUUAUAGAGAGGAAAAACUUCCUCGCCCAAAGCUAUUUAUAACGACGAAAAUAUUUUUCUCCCAAAAACCGUAGUCCCU
Molecule: long non-coding RNA, 1262 nt
Organism: Rosa rugosa (rugosa rose)
Lineage: Eukaryota; Viridiplantae; Streptophyta; Magnoliopsida; Rosales; Rosaceae
Exons: 3
Source: RefSeq, a predicted model, not a curated record